Molecule: ribosomal RNA, 519 nt
Filed under: Weissella sp.
Lineage: Bacteria; Bacillati; Bacillota; Bacilli; Lactobacillales; Lactobacillaceae
Also listed under: 1 other name
Description: bacterial SSU rRNA
Rfam family: Bacterial small subunit ribosomal RNA
Source: RNAcentral
UACCUGGCGGCGUGCCUAUACAUGCAAGUCGAACGCUUUGUGGUUAACUGAUUUGAAGAGCUUGCUCAGAUAUGACGAUGGACAUUGCAAAGAGUGGCGAACGGGUGAGUAACACGUGGGAAACCUACCUCUUAGCAGGGGAUAACAUUUGGAAACAGAUGCUAAUACCGUAUAACAAUGACAACCGCAUGGUUGUUAUUUAAAAGAUGGUUCUGCUAUCACUAAGAGAUGGUCCCGCGGUGCAUUAGCUAGUUGGUAAGGUAAUGGCUUACCAAGGCGAUGAUGCAUAGCCGAGUUGAGAGACUGAUCGGCCACAAUGGGACUGAGACACGGCCCAUACUCCUACGGGAGGCAGCAGUAGGGAAUCUUCCACAAUGGGCGAAAGCCUGAUGGAGCAACGCCGCGUGUGUGAUGAAGGGUUUCGGCUCGUAAAACACUGUUGUAAGAGAAGAAUGACAUUGAGAGUAACUGUUCAAUGUGUGACGGUAUCUUACCAGAAAGGAACGGCUAAAUACGUGC